AACGCACAUUGCGCCCGCCAGUAUUCUGGCGGGCAUGCCUGUUCGAGCGUCAUUUCAACCAUCAAGCCCUAGGCUUGCGUUGGGGGCCUGCGGCUGCCGCAGCCUCCUAAAAGCAGUGGCGGGCUCGCUGUCAUUCCGAGCGCAGUAGUUACAUCUCGCUCUGGGUGUGGCGGUGGGCACCGGCCGUAAAACACUCUUUCUAAGGUUGACCUCGGAUCAGGUAGGAAUACCCGCUGAACUUAA
This 243-nucleotide unclassified non-coding RNA is filed under the name uncultured Ascomycota. Its description in RNAcentral is "sequence contains 5.8S rRNA gene, ITS2, 28S rRNA gene". The stretch from base 1 to 52 matches the Rfam family "5.8S ribosomal RNA", at positions 103 to 154 of the family's 154-position model. Lineage: Eukaryota; Fungi; Ascomycota. The record is from RNAcentral.